AUGCCAACACUCAUUCAGCAAACUGUGACAAUCCACUCGUAUUGUUAGCAAGACCGACAUGUACUACGCUGUUGAGCCUGGAUAGGAAAACAAAGUGAACAACCAACUCUGUUUCCCGUUGAUAGCUGAAUUUGAAAAAAGGUAGGUCCGAAAUCUACUAAAUUGUACGCGGGAAUCCUAGAUCGAAUAAUACAGAUAUUUACAAGAAGACUUACUCUUUCAUCUUUGGAGGAUACGUGUUUGCAGAGAAAGUUGGCCUCUUUCCUUCUUUAGCUCUGAAAUGAGCAAUGUCCUUGGACCCUUGAAACUUCGAAUAUGGACCACUUCGAACAACUGCAGAAAACCGAUCAACUUAGAUGAAGCUUUACUGUGUGCUGUUCUAUUUAUAAACCUCUAAUGGUGAUUUUCAUACAAAAAAUUGCCAUGGAAUAUUAAAAGUGAUAACUAGCUCAUUGAUUUAUGCAGACCCUCAAUACAUAAACACAAUAGGAGAUGCGAAAGCGAGAUGAAGAUGCGAACAACCAGUAGAAGAUUGACACUUUCAAAACCCUAGUUCGGUAGUACUGUUAUGAACUUCACAAACCAACUUCGCCUGGGAUAUUUAGUAUUCACCCUACCCUAAGACCCACUGAGAACUGUCAUUGGCAAAUGACCUCCUCAUGUACAAUUCUUCUGACCAUCGCGGUUCUUUAAACUUGAGGUGCACACACAAUUCCCCCAGUUUUGUGAAGGA
RNAcentral lists this long non-coding RNA (733 nucleotides) under Physcomitrium patens. RNAcentral's name for it is "long non-coding RNA (PPAT_LNC004584)". The record is from RNAcentral. Lineage: Eukaryota; Viridiplantae; Streptophyta; Bryopsida; Funariales; Funariaceae.